This 213-nucleotide ribosomal RNA is filed under the name Sporobolomyces pararoseus. RNAcentral's name for it is "Sporidiobolus pararoseus partial large subunit ribosomal RNA". The record is from RNAcentral. Lineage: Eukaryota; Fungi; Basidiomycota; Microbotryomycetes; Sporidiobolales; Sporidiobolaceae.
AAACACAUGCAGUGAUACUUGCUAUUCGGGGCAACUCGAUUGGCAGGCCCGCAUCAGUUUUUCGGGGCGGAAAAUCGUAGAGAGAAGGUAGCAGUUUCGGCUGUGUUAUAGCUCUUUACUGGAUUCGCCCUGGGGGACUGAGGAACGCAGCGUGCUUUUAGCAUGAGCUUCGGCUUAUCCACGCUUAGGAUGCGGGUUUAUGGCUGUAUAUGA